AUUGAACGCUGGCGGCAGGCCUAACACAUGCAAGUCGAACGAGUGGCGGACGGGUGAGUAAUGUCUGGGAAACUGCCUGAUGGAGGGGGAUAACUACUGGAAACGGUAGCUAAUACCGCAUACCAUCGGAUGUGCCCAGAUGGGCUUAGCUAGGAGGUGGGGUAACGGCUCACCUAGGAGACGAUCCCUAGUUGGUCUGAGAGGAUGACCAGCUAUACUGGAACUGAGAGACGGUCCAGCCUCCUACGUGAGGCAGCAGUGGGGAAUAGUGCACAAUGGGCGCAAGCCUGAUGCAUCCAUGCCGCGUGUAUGAAGAGGGCCUUCGGGUUGUAAAGUACGUUCAGCGGUGAGGCGUUACCCGCAGAAGAAGCACCGGCUAACUCCGUGCCAGCAGCCGCGGUAAUUC
Molecule: ribosomal RNA, 406 nt
Filed under: uncultured bacterium
Lineage: Bacteria
Description: partial 16S ribosomal RNA
Rfam family: Bacterial small subunit ribosomal RNA
Source: RNAcentral